Molecule: ribosomal RNA, 595 nt
Filed under: bacterium E-1-48-3G
Lineage: Bacteria
Description: bacterial SSU rRNA
Rfam family: Bacterial small subunit ribosomal RNA
Source: RNAcentral
UGGGCGCAAGCCUGAUCCAGCCAUACCGCGUGGGUGAAGAAGGCCUUCGGGUUAGUAAAGCCCUUUUGUUGGGAAAGAAAUCCAGCUGGCUAAUACCCGGUUGGGAUGACGGUACCCAAAGAAUAAGCACCGGCUAACUUCGUGCCAGCAGCCGCGGUAAUACGAAGGGUGCAAGCGUUACUCGGAAUUACUGGGCGUAAAGCGUGCGUAGGUGGUCGUUUAAGUACGUUGUGAAAGCCCUGGGCUCAACCUGGGAACUGCAGUGGAUACUGGGCGACUAGAGUGUGGUAGAGGGUAGCGGAAUUCCUGGUGUAGCAGUGAAAUGCGUAGAGAUCAGGAGGAACAUCCAUGGCGAAGGCAGCUACCUGGACCAACACUGACACUGAGGCACGAAAGCGUGGGGAGCAAACAGGAUUAGAUACCCUGGUAGUCCACGCCCUAAACGAUGCGAACUGGAUGUUGGGUGCAAUUUGGCACGCAGUAUCGAAGCUAACGCGUUAAGUUCGCCGCCUGGGGAGUACGGUCGCAAGACUGAAACUCAAAGGAAUNGACGGGGGCCCGCACAAGCGGUGGAGUAUGUGGUUUAAUNCGAUGC